RNAcentral lists this ribosomal RNA (307 nucleotides) under Salmonella enterica subsp. enterica. RNAcentral describes it as "partial 23S ribosomal RNA". It matches the Rfam family "Bacterial large subunit ribosomal RNA", at positions 1292 to 1600 of the family's 2925-position model. RNAcentral also lists the same sequence under 1 other name. Lineage: Bacteria; Pseudomonadati; Pseudomonadota; Gammaproteobacteria; Enterobacterales; Enterobacteriaceae. The record is from RNAcentral.
GAAUGCUGACAUAAGUAACGAUAAAGCGGGUGAAAAGCCCGCUCGCCGGAAGACCAAGGGUUCCUGUCCAACGUUAAUCGGGGCAGGGUGAGUCGACCCCUAAGGCGAGGCCGAAAGGCGUAGUCGAUGGGAAACGGGUUAAUAUUCCCGUACUUGGUGUUACUGCGAAGGGGGGACGGAGAAGGCUAUGUUGGCCGGGCGACGGUUGUCCCGGUUUAAGCGUGUAGGUGUGUGUUCCAGGUAAAUCCGGUUCACUUUAACACUGAGGCGUGACGACGAGGCACUACGGUGCUGAAGCAACAAAUGC